UUUAAACCCACAACAACCAUGGUUUUUUUUAUUGAGCAACUGGUUCAUGAAUGCACACAUUGUGUCAUAGCAUCCCUCUAGAAAACCAAUUAUCUUUAUAUCCAGCUGUCCUCCCUGGCACUCCGUUUCCCCUAGCAGAGCCUACCUUGUUGCAGUAAAUUAGCGUUAACUGGGAGGAAGAGGCCACUCAUACAGACUGACUUGACUUUGGCAGCUCCAAGCAGGAACUAAACUGAGACUGAGGGGAUAUCCAUUCCACAGGCAAGGAGGAAAAACAGACUCGCCCUUUCUCAAAGAACUCUCAAACUUCCCACAUCUGAAGACUAGGAUGGCCAGUUGCGGGUCUUGUUUCUGGAGCAUUGUGUGGCUGGUGAUUUUACUGAUCAUAGGCUGGCCCCUCAGUAUCUUACUCGGGGGGCUCUAUGGCCUCGUCACCCCCCUGACCACCUGCGUGGGCCUGGACCGCCUGUCAGACCUGCUCCUGGAGGGGGCCAACCUGGGUCGGACCUGUGCCCAGAACAUGAAACACGGCAAGGCAGUGUGCUGAGACCGGUCCUGGUCCUGAUACUGGUUCUGGUCGUGUCACCGUGGAAACAAACGUUUCCUUCACAGAGGAAGAGUUACUGUUCAUGCCAAAGGCCAUUGUGUUAUUGUUCGUCUUGUCACGUUAUUGAGGUGUUAAUAUAAGUUCAAAGCCAAAACACAAGGAAAACUUCACUUCCCAAACGUUUAACAAAAUGAUUAUGCUCGCUCUAUAAAAGUGUUAUUAACAGUGGAUGUUCUUUUUUUUGUUUGGGUUUGUCUAUUCUACAACUUGAAAUACAGAUGCUUUGUAUUCAUAGCCUGAAUUUGCUGAUUUUAAUUCACGAUGCCAUCCUGCACAGGGCAGAGAAGAAUGUUCUACAGCUUAACUUUAACAAUAGAGCAGUUAUGGAUUUAAACUUAUAAAGUGAUACAAUUAUUUUGAACUUACAUAGUGUUUCUUGAUCGAAUUGUCAUUAGACCGAAAAUAAAAUGUCUGCCUGCCUCUAUUUUA
Oncorhynchus masou masou (cherry salmon) is the source of this 1036-nucleotide long non-coding RNA. RefSeq lists it as uncharacterized. The transcript has 2 exons. The record is from RefSeq and is a predicted model, not a curated record. NCBI's taxonomy places the organism in Eukaryota, Metazoa, Chordata, Actinopteri, Salmoniformes, Salmonidae.